This 363-nucleotide ribosomal RNA is filed under the name Chloromonas sp. CCCryo289-06. RNAcentral's name for it is "bacterial SSU rRNA". It matches the Rfam family "Eukaryotic small subunit ribosomal RNA", at positions 1467 to 1831 of the family's 1831-position model. Lineage: Eukaryota; Viridiplantae; Chlorophyta; Chlorophyceae; Chlamydomonadales; Chlamydomonadaceae. The record is from RNAcentral.
AUGCCCUUUAGAUGUUCUGGGCCGCACGCGCGCUACACUGAUGCGUUCAACGAGCCUAUCCUUGGCCGAGAGGCCCGGGUAAUCUUCGAAACCGCAUCGUGAUGGGGAUAGAUUAUUGCAAUUAUUAGUCUUCAACGAGGAAUGCCUAGUAAGCGCGAGUCAUCAGCUCGCGUUGAUUACGUCCCUGCCCUUUGUACACACCGCCCGUCGCUCCUACCGAUUGAGUGUGCUGGUGAGAUGUAUGGAUCAGGGUUUCCUGGUGGCAACACCGGGUGAUCUCGAGAAAUUCAUCGAACCCUCCCACUUAGAGGAAGGAGAAGUCGUAACAAGGUUUCCGUAGGUGAACCUGCGGAAGGAUCAUUG